GGACUUGAAUACUUCGGACGGACAGUGGGGAUCAAGAUUAUGCCAGUUGGGAUUCACAUGAGGCAGAUUGAAAAUGUGCUUCAACUAGCAGAUAAAGAGUCGAGAGUUGCAGAACUUAAGCAACAAUUUGAAGGUAAAACUGUUUUACUUGGUGUUGAUGAUAUGGACAUUUUCAAAGGUGUCGAUUUGAAACUUCUGGCAUUGGAGGAAAUGUUAAAACAACAUCCUAAGUGGCAAGGAAGAGCAGUGCUGGUCCAGAUUGCUAAUCCAGCUCGAGCAAAAGGAAAAGAUAUUGAGGAAAUACAAGAAGAAAUUCAAACAAGCGUCAAGAGAAUCAAUGACAAGUUUAGACAGCCUGGUUAUGAACCCAUCGUGUUCAUUGAUCGCCCAGUUUCUCUUAGUGAACGGACUGCCUAUUACUCUGUUGCUGAGUGUGUAGUUGUAACUGCAGUAAGAGAUGGCAUGAACCUUACACCAUAUGAAUACGUUGUGUGUAGG
RNAcentral lists this unclassified non-coding RNA (498 nucleotides) under Hevea brasiliensis (rubber tree). Lineage: Eukaryota; Viridiplantae; Streptophyta; Magnoliopsida; Malpighiales; Euphorbiaceae. The record is from RNAcentral.